AGUAGGUGGGGUAACGGCUCACCUAGGCGACGAUCCCUAGCUGGUCUGAGAGGAUGACCAGCCACACUGGAACUGAGACACGGUCCAGACUCCUACGGGAGGCAGCAGUGGGGAAUAUUGCACAAUGGGCGCAAGCCUGAUGCAGCCAUGCCGCGUGUAUGAAGAAGGCCUUCGGGUUGUAAAGUACUUUCAGCGGGGAGGAAGGGAGUAAAGUUAAUACCUUUGCUCAUUGACGUUACCCGCAGAAGAAGCACCGGCUAACUCCGUGCCAGCAGCCGCGGUAAUACGGAGGGUGCAGCGUUAAUCGGAAUUACUGGGCGUAAAGCGCACGCAGGCGGUUUGUUAAGUCAGAUGUGAAAUCCCCGGGCUCAACCUGGGAACUGCAUCUGAUACUGGCAAGCUUGAGUCUCGUAGAGGGGGGUAGAAUUCCAGGUGUAGCGGUGAAAUGCGUAGAGAUCUGGAGGAAUACCGGUGGCGAAGGCGGCCCCCUGGACGAAGACUGACGCUCAGGUGCGAAAGCGUGGGGAGCAAACAGGAUUAGAUACCCUGGUAGUCCACGCCGUAAACGAUGUCGACUUGGAGGUUGUGCCCUUGAGGCGUGGCUUCCGGAGCUAACGCGUUAAGUCGACCGCCUGGGGAGUACGGCCGCAAGGUUAAAACUCAAAUGAAUUGACGGGGGCCCGCACAAGCGGUGGAGCAUGUGGUUUAAUUCGAUGUAACGCGAAGAACCUUACCUGGUCUUGACAUCCACGGAAGUUUUCAGAGAUGAGAAUGUGCCUUCGGGAACCGUGAGACAGGUGCUGCAUGGCUGUCGUCAGCUCGUGUUGUGAAAUGUUGGGUUAAGUCCCACAACGAGCGCAACCCUUAUCCUUUGUUGCCAGCGGUCCGGCCGGGAACUCAAAGGAGACUGCCAGUGAUAAACUGGAGGAAGGUGGGGAUGACGUCAA
Molecule: ribosomal RNA, 947 nt
Filed under: uncultured Gammaproteobacteria bacterium
Lineage: Bacteria; Pseudomonadati; Pseudomonadota; Gammaproteobacteria
Description: bacterial SSU rRNA
Rfam family: Bacterial small subunit ribosomal RNA
Source: RNAcentral